Molecule: unclassified non-coding RNA, 200 nt
Filed under: Kazachstania sp.
Lineage: Eukaryota; Fungi; Ascomycota; Saccharomycetes; Saccharomycetales; Saccharomycetaceae
Description: partial internal transcribed spacer 2
Source: RNAcentral
UUAAGUUCAGCGGGUACUCCUACCUGAUUUGAGGUCAAACUUAAAAGAACACUCUUCGCCACUGCUGUCUCUCUGCAGCCUUAAAUUGAGCAUCCCGUAGCUCCCGCCACAGAAACCCCCGCCAGCUGUCCUCGAAUUGGCAGAACCUAGUACGAAGACGUCCAGCAGAGCUCUCCUUUGCGUAGCAGGAUAAGAAGCUC